Molecule: ribosomal RNA, 439 nt
Filed under: uncultured bacterium
Lineage: Bacteria
Description: bacterial SSU rRNA
Rfam family: Bacterial small subunit ribosomal RNA
Source: RNAcentral
AACGCGAAGAACCUUACCAAGGUUUGACAUGGCCGGAAAACUCGCAGAGAUGCGGGGUCCUUCGGGGCCGGUCACAGGUGGUGCAUGGCUGUCGUCAGCUCGUGUCGUGAGAUGUUGGGUUAAGUCCCGCAACGAGCGCAACCCUCGUCCUAUGUUGCCAGCGGGUCAUGCCGGGGACUCAUGGGAGACUGCCGGGGUCAACUCGGAGGAAGGUGGGGAUGACGUCAAGUCAUCAUGCCCCUUAUGUCUUGGGCUGCAAACAUGCUACAAUGGCCGGUACAGAGGGCUGCGAGACCGUGAGGUUAAGCGAAUCCCGGAAAGCCGGUCUCAGUUCGGAUCGGGGUCUGCAACUCGGCCCCGUGAAGCUGGAGUCGCUAGUAAUCGCGGAUCAGCAACGCCGCGGUGAAUACGUUCCCGGGCCUUGUACACACCGAGUAUA